CAGUAGCCACGGUAAUACGGAGGGUGCAAGCGUUAAUCGGAAUUACUGGGCGUAAAGCGCACGCAGGCGGUCUGACAAGUCAGAUGUGAAAUCCCCGGGCUUAACCUGGGAACUGCAUUUGAAACUGUCAGGCUGGAGUCUUGUAGAGGGGGGUGGAAUUCCAGGUGUAGCGGUGAAAUGCGUAGAGAUCUGGAGGAAUACCGGUGGCGAAGGCGGCCCCCUGGACAAAGACUGACGCUCAGGUGCGAAAGCGUGGGGAGCAAACAGGAUUAGAUACCCGCGUAGUCCCUGUCUCUAUACA
This 301-nucleotide ribosomal RNA is filed under the name uncultured bacterium. Its description in RNAcentral is "partial 16S ribosomal RNA". It matches the Rfam family "Bacterial small subunit ribosomal RNA", at positions 509 to 808 of the family's 1533-position model. The record is from RNAcentral.